CUCCUCCUCUCAGUACAUCAGCACCAAUGUGUGUUUAGCAACAUCAUCCUACGGACCCGCACCGCUUACUUUCAAUCGAGGCUGACUUUUCUCCCACAAAAGCCCCAUAGAAUUAAACAAAACGCUCGACAACAUUAUAAAGCUGCUAGUGGCUCGACAGAAGGGCAGUUUCAGAUCUUUUGAAUCGCUUCUUUUUUCCCGUCCUUGCAGGUUUCUUGGACCACUCCAGACAUCAGACCAGACUUCUCCCGUUGACUCGGCACUCUCUCAAGGCAAAAUGGGGAAACAGAACAGCAAGCUGACCCCUGAAGUGAUGGAGGACCUGGUGAAGAACACAGAGUUUAAU
Notothenia coriiceps (black rockcod) is the source of this 346-nucleotide long non-coding RNA. RefSeq lists it as uncharacterized. NCBI's taxonomy places the organism in Eukaryota, Metazoa, Chordata, Actinopteri, Perciformes, Nototheniidae. The record is from RefSeq and is a predicted model, not a curated record. The transcript has 2 exons.